AACGCACAUUGCACUUCCUGGUAUUCCGGGAAGUAUGCCUGUUUCAGUAUCAUGAACACACCUCAGGCCAAAAAGGGGGGCGAGGGCACUCGUCCUUUUUUUUCGAACCCUGGAUCUAGGCUGAGCAUCACCUCUGGUCAGUUGUUGCCCAGCCUGAAAUUCAUCCCGACCGCGGGUUUUCUCUUUCUUAGGAAGAGGAAGGGGGAGAAUAAGGCGUCGAUAGUUCGACCACUGAGUUGAUCUUUUCGCCGAAGAACUCCCUCCUUGAUCUGCGGGGUCGGAUCCAUUAGCAGGACACUCUGUUCUUCUCAACCUUGAUCUGAAAUCAGGUAGGAGUACCCGCUGAACUUAA
Molecule: unclassified non-coding RNA, 352 nt
Filed under: uncultured fungus
Lineage: Eukaryota; Fungi
Description: partial contains 5.8S ribosomal RNA, internal transcribed spacer 2, and large subunit ribosomal RNA
Source: RNAcentral